RNAcentral lists this ribosomal RNA (492 nucleotides) under uncultured bacterium. RNAcentral's name for it is "partial 16S ribosomal RNA". It matches the Rfam family "Bacterial small subunit ribosomal RNA", at positions 29 to 507 of the family's 1533-position model. The record is from RNAcentral.
AGUGAACGCUGGCGGCAGGCCUAACACAUGCAAGUCGAACGGCAGCACAGUAAGAGCUUGCUCUUACGGGUGGCGAGUGGCGGACGGGUGAGGAAUACACCGGAAUCUACUUUUUCGUGGGGGAUAACGUAGGGAAACUUACGCUAAUACCGCAUACGACCUACGGGUGAAAGCAGGGGAUCUUCGGACCUUGCGCGAUUGAAUGAGCCGAUGUCGGAUUAGCUAGUUGGCGGGGUAAAGGCCCACCAAGGCGACGAUCCGUAGCUGGUCUGAGAGGAUGAUCAGCCACACUGGAACUGAGACACGGUCCAGACUCCUACGGGAGGCAGCAGUGGGGAAUAUUGGACAAUGGGCGCAAGCCUGAUCCAGCCAUACCGCGUGGGUGAAGAAGGCCUUCGGGUUGUAAAGCCCUUUUGUUGGGAAAGAAAAGCAGCAGGUUAAUACCCCGCUGUUCUGACGGUACCCAAAGAAUAAGCACCGGCUAACUUCGUG